GUUAUUCUUUUUUUUCGUAUCUCCUUCUAUUCCCCGGCCUGUAGCUCUUCCAGAGUUACUACCCGGGUGAAGGAGGAUGGUUGGGUAUGAGAUUAGAGACCACG
This 104-nucleotide microRNA precursor is filed under the name Schistosoma mansoni. Its description in RNAcentral is "microRNA sma-mir-8475 precursor". Lineage: Eukaryota; Metazoa; Platyhelminthes; Trematoda; Strigeidida; Schistosomatidae. The record is from miRBase by way of RNAcentral.